This 666-nucleotide unclassified non-coding RNA is filed under the name Arabidopsis thaliana (thale cress). Lineage: Eukaryota; Viridiplantae; Streptophyta; Magnoliopsida; Brassicales; Brassicaceae. The record is from RNAcentral.
UUUAAAGCUGAAGACUCUUACAAAUUAUGUAUUAUUUUUUCUCCUUCCAUUGGUCAUCUUUAAAUAUGGGUGUCUCAUUACUUUUUUUCCCCAACAGAACAAUUAAAAACCAAAACUUGGUGAUGAAUCACAGAAAAAUGAAACAAAUUCGAUCUGAGAUUGGGAAAGAAAGAGUCCCGAAUUUGUGUGUGAUUGAGAAUAUGAGCCAAAUGAAUAAAUAAAUAAAUGUAGAGGAAGAUCAGGAGGAAAACACAAUCAUUCGGUGGUGAUGGCCCAAGCGCCGUCAUCUACGGCGAUUCUCCGGUGCAUAUUGUUGGAGGAGAAUCGAUGGUUUUGGGAAAUGUUAUGGCGGUUAGAAAGCGGGAUGUCAUCGGAGAUCUGCCGGAUGAGUGUUUAGCUCAUGUGUUUCAGUUUUUUGGAGCUGAGAUUGGAAGAGAAAGAGAGAGAAAAAAUUGCAAAUGGAGAAAAGAAAAAAACAAAUAACGAAUGAUAGGAUGACACGUACGGUGUCUUUCAAUAUCAAAUAUGUCUUCCCAGAGACUCCGGAGACACGGGUCUCUCGUAAUAACACAAUAAACUUUUAUUUUUCUUUAUUUUUAUUCUUUUUAAAUAUAAAGAUACUUCCAUUUUAUGUCGGAUGGAUAUGCUCUAAGAGCACCCACAUUG